CCUACGGGGGGCUGCAGUGGGGAAUAUUGGACAAUGGGGGCAACCCUGAUCCAGCCAUGCCGCGUGUGUGAAGAAGGCCCUCGGGUUGUAAAGCACUUUCAGUGAGGAAGAACGCCUGGUGGUUAAUACCCAUCAGGAAAGACAUCACUCACAGAAGAAGCACCGGCUAACUCCGUGCCAGCAGCCGCGGUAAUACGGAGGGUGCGAGCGUUAAUCGGAAUUACUGGGCGUAAAGCGCGCGUAGGUGGCUUGAUAAGCCGGUUGUGAAAGCCCCGGGCUCAACCUGGGAACGGCAUCCGGAACUGUCAAGCUAGAGUGCAGGAGAGGAAGGUAGAAUUCCCGGUGUAGCGGUGAAAUGCGUAGAGAUCGGGAGGAAUACCAGUGGCGAAGGCGGCCUUCUGGACUGACACUGACACUGAGGUGCGAAAGCGUGGGUAGCAAACAGGAUUAGAUACCCGAGUAGUU
Molecule: ribosomal RNA, 465 nt
Filed under: Vreelandella stevensii
Lineage: Bacteria; Pseudomonadati; Pseudomonadota; Gammaproteobacteria; Oceanospirillales; Halomonadaceae
Description: partial 16S ribosomal RNA
Rfam family: Bacterial small subunit ribosomal RNA
Source: RNAcentral